RNAcentral lists this transfer RNA (96 nucleotides) under Sphaerisporangium krabiense. Its description in RNAcentral is "tRNA-Asp". The record is from RNAcentral. Lineage: Bacteria; Bacillati; Actinomycetota; Actinomycetes; Streptosporangiales; Streptosporangiaceae.
UCGUCGCCUAGCGUCCUCGGGCGGCGGUCGCGCCGGUCAGGCGAGGGUGACGGCGCCGCCGGUGCCGUCCACGGUGAUCGUGUCGCCGGUGGAGAU